This 561-nucleotide ribosomal RNA is filed under the name Streptosporangium sp. 337D09. Its description in RNAcentral is "bacterial SSU rRNA". It matches the Rfam family "Bacterial small subunit ribosomal RNA", at positions 93 to 671 of the family's 1533-position model. Lineage: Bacteria; Bacillati; Actinomycetota; Actinomycetes; Streptosporangiales; Streptosporangiaceae. The record is from RNAcentral. RNAcentral also lists the same sequence under 1 other name.
GAGCGGCGAACGGGUGAGUAACACGUGAGUAACCUGCCCCUGACUCUGGGAUAAGCCCGGGAAACUGGGUCUAAUACCGGAUACGACACCUCCCGGCAUCGGGUGGGUGUGGAAAGUUUUUUCGGUUGGGGAUGGACUCGCGGCCUAUCAGCUUGUUGGUGGGGUAACGGCCUACCAAGGCGACGACGGGUAGCCGGCCUGAGAGGGCGACCGGCCACACUGGGACUGAGACACGGCCCAGACUCCUACGGGAGGCAGCAGUGGGGAAUAUUGCGCAAUGGGCGAAAGCCUGACGCAGCGACGCCGCGUGGGGGAUGACGGCCUUCGGGUUGUAAACCUCUUUCAGCAGGGACGAAGUUGACGUGUACCUGCAGAAGAAGCGCCGGCUAACUACGUGCCAGCAGCCGCGGUAAUACGUAGGGCGCAAGCGUUGUCCGGAAUUAUUGGGCGUAAAGAGCUCGUAGGUGGCUUGUCACGUCGGGUGUGAAAGCUUGGGGCUUAACUCCAGGUCUGCAUUCGAUACGGGCUGGCUAGAGGUAGGUAGGGGAGAACGGAAUUCCU